GUCCUGUGACUGCGUACCUUUUGUAUAAUGGGUCAGCGACUUAAUUUUAGUAGCAAGGUUAACCAUCUAGGGGAGCCGUAGGGAAACCGAGUCUUAACUGGGCGUCAUAGUUGCUAGGAUUAGACCCGAAACCGAGUGAUCUAGCCAUGGGCAGGUUGAAGAUUGAGUAACAUCAAUUGGAGGACCGAACCGACUAAUGUUGAAAAAUUAGCGGAUGACUUGUGGCUAGGGGUGAAAGGCCAAUCAAACUCGGAGAUAGCUGGUUCUCCCCGAAAGCUAUUUAGGUAGCGCCUCGGACGAAUACUACUGGGGGUAGAGCACUGUUAAGGCUAGGGGGUCAUCCCGACUUACCAACCCUUUGCAAACUCCGAAUACCAGUAAGUACUAUCCGGGAGACACACGGCGGGUGCUAACGUCCGUCGUGAAGAGGGAAACAACCCAGACCGCCAGCUAAGGUCCCAAAGUUAUAGCUAAGUGGGAAACGAUGUGGGAAGGCUCAGACAGCCAGGAUGUUGGCUUAGAAGCAGCCAUCAUUUAAAGAAAGCGUAAUAGCUCACUGGUCGAGUCGGCCUGCGCGGAAGAUUUAACGGGGCUAAGCUAUACACCGAAGCUGCGGCAAUGUGCUAUGCACAUUGGGUAGGGGAGCGUUCUGUAAGCCGUUGAAGGUGCAUUGUAAAGUGUGCUGGAGGUAUCAGAAGUGCGAAUGCUGACAUGAGUAACGACAAAGGGAGUGAA
Molecule: ribosomal RNA, 735 nt
Filed under: Photobacterium damselae subsp. damselae
Lineage: Bacteria; Pseudomonadati; Pseudomonadota; Gammaproteobacteria; Vibrionales; Vibrionaceae
Description: bacterial LSU rRNA
Rfam family: Bacterial large subunit ribosomal RNA
Source: RNAcentral